Molecule: microRNA precursor, 79 nt
Filed under: Chlorocebus sabaeus (green monkey)
Lineage: Eukaryota; Metazoa; Chordata; Mammalia; Primates; Cercopithecidae
Description: miRNA (ENSCSAG00000027338.1)
Source: RNAcentral
UAGAGUGUCAAGCCGUCCUGGCUUGCCUGGGACUGAGGAGUUUUCUGGAACAGGAAACUCUCUGUGUUAAAACCAGGUU